AUACGAAGGAGGCAAGCGUUGUUCGGAAUAACUGGGCGUAAAGCGCACGUAGGCGGAAUGUUAAGUUAGAGGUGAAAUCCCAGGGCUCAACCCUGGAACUGCCUUUAAUACUGGCAAUCUAGAGACCGAGAGAGGUGAGUGGAAUUCCGAGUGUAGAGGUGAAAUUCGUAGAUAUUCGGAGGAACACCAGUGGCGAAGGCGGCUCACUGGCUCGGUACUGACGCUGAGGUGCGAAAGCGUGGGGAGCAAACAGGAUUAGAAACCCCAGUAGUCC
This 274-nucleotide ribosomal RNA is filed under the name uncultured bacterium. Its description in RNAcentral is "partial 16S ribosomal RNA". It matches the Rfam family "Bacterial small subunit ribosomal RNA", at positions 523 to 796 of the family's 1533-position model. The record is from RNAcentral.